UACGUAGGGGGCUAGCGUUGUCCGGAAUUAUUGGGCGUAAAGAGCUCGUAGGCGGCUUGUUGCGUCGGCUGUGAAAUCCCGGGGCUUAACUCCGGGCGUGCAGCCGAUACGGGCAGGCUAGAGUCCGGUAGGGGAGACUGGAAUUCCUGGUGUAGCGGUGAAAUGCGCAGAUAUCAGGAGGAACACCGGUGGCGAAGGCGGGUCUCUGGGCCGGUACUGACGCUAAGGAGCGAAAGCGUGGGGAGCGAACAGG
This 253-nucleotide ribosomal RNA is filed under the name uncultured bacterium. Its description in RNAcentral is "partial 16S ribosomal RNA". It matches the Rfam family "Bacterial small subunit ribosomal RNA", at positions 524 to 776 of the family's 1533-position model. The record is from RNAcentral.